UGGUUCCGGCAUCGAUGAAGAACGCAGCGAAAUGCGAUAAGUAAUGUGAAUUGCAGAGUUCAGUGAAUCAUCGAGUCUUUGAACGCACAUUGCGCCCCUCGGUAUUCCGACGGGCAUGCCUGUCCGAGCGUCGUCUCGAACCUCGAGCGCUGCGGGCGGCGCUCGGUGUUGGGCGGUCAGGCCCCGCGUGGCCUCCCCCAAAAGACAGCGGCGGUGCGACCUGGGGUCCCCAGUGCAGUGACAGGUAACAUCGUAAACCUCGCUGGUAUGGAUCGCCCGGGCGCCCCGGCCACACAACGACGGACGAUCCGUCCUCACCGAAAAAAGAAUUAUAUUGUUUUUUCCACCGACGAACCGACCUCGGAUCAGGCAGGGAUACCCGCUGA
Molecule: unclassified non-coding RNA, 386 nt
Filed under: uncultured fungus
Lineage: Eukaryota; Fungi
Description: partial contains 5.8S ribosomal RNA and internal transcribed spacer 2
Rfam family: 5.8S ribosomal RNA (bases 1-133)
Source: RNAcentral